This is a long non-coding RNA of Sinocyclocheilus anshuiensis, 212 nucleotides long. RefSeq lists it as uncharacterized. The transcript has 3 exons. The record is from RefSeq and is a predicted model, not a curated record. Lineage: Eukaryota; Metazoa; Chordata; Actinopteri; Cypriniformes; Cyprinidae.
GAAAGCAUGGCUUUCCUGCUGCAUCGCCACAAGUCAAGCUGUCCUGAUUGAGAAACUUUUGGUUUCCUGCUUAAUCAAAGUUCCUAAAGUUCACCCCAUUCACACUUACGUGGCACUUUACAAGUUCCUCCCUCAAGAGCAAAAUGACUUAGAAUUACAUCCUGGUGACAGAGUUAUGGUGACUGAUGACUCUAAUGAAGAAUGGUGGAAGG